Molecule: long non-coding RNA, 294 nt
Filed under: dengue virus type 1
Lineage: Riboviria; Orthornavirae; Kitrinoviricota; Flasuviricetes; Amarillovirales; Flaviviridae
Description: Dengue virus 1 partial sfRNA1
Rfam family: Flavivirus DB element (bases 149-220)
Source: RNAcentral
AAGAAGUCAGGCCGGAUUAAGCCAUAGUACGGUAAGAGCUAUGCUGCCUGUGAGCCCCGUCUAAGGACGUAAAAUGAAGUCAGGCCGAAAGCCACGGCUUGAGCAAACCGUGCUGCCUGUAGCUCCAUCGUGGGGAUGUAAAAACCUGGGAGGCUGCAACCCAUGGAAGCUGUACGCAUGGGGUAGCAGACUAGUGGUUAGAGGAGACCCCUCCCGAAACAUAACGCAGCAGCGGGGCCCAACACCAGGGGAAGCUGUACCCUGGUGGUAAGGACUAGAGGNNNNAGGAGACCC